This 67-nucleotide transfer RNA is filed under the name Idiocerus consimilis. Its description in RNAcentral is "tRNA-Tyr". The record is from RNAcentral. Lineage: Eukaryota; Metazoa; Arthropoda; Insecta; Hemiptera; Cicadellidae.
ACUAAAAUGGCUGAAAAAUAGGCAGUAAAUUGUAAAUUUACCUAUGAAAAGAAAUUUUCUUUUAGUA